RNAcentral lists this ribosomal RNA (274 nucleotides) under uncultured bacterium. Its description in RNAcentral is "partial 16S ribosomal RNA". It matches the Rfam family "Bacterial small subunit ribosomal RNA", at positions 523 to 796 of the family's 1533-position model. The record is from RNAcentral.
AGACGGAGGGGGCUAGCGUUGUUCGGAUUUACUGGGCGUAAAGGGCGCGUAGGCGGAUUAGUAAGUCGGGAGUGAAAGCCCGGGGCUCAACCUCGGAACUGCUUUCAAAACUGCUAGUCUAGAGUGAAGUAGGGGGUGAUGGAAUUCCUAGUGUAGAGGUGAAAUUCUUAGAUAUUAGGAGGAACACCGGUGGCGAAGGCGGUCACCUGGACUUCAACUGACGCUGAGGCGCGAAAGCGUGGGGAGCAAACAGGAUUAGAUACCCUAGUAGUCC